RNAcentral lists this unclassified non-coding RNA (337 nucleotides) under soil metagenome. RNAcentral's name for it is "partial contains 5.8S ribosomal RNA, internal transcribed spacer 2, and large subunit ribosomal RNA". The stretch from base 1 to 120 matches the Rfam family "5.8S ribosomal RNA", at positions 35 to 154 of the family's 154-position model. The record is from RNAcentral.
GAUGAAGAACGUAGCGAAAUGCGAUAAGUAGUGUGAAUUGCAGAAUUCAGUGAAUCAUCGAAUCUUUGAACGCACAUUGCGCCCCUUGGUAUUCCAUGGGGCAUGCCUGUUCGAGCGUCAUUUGUACCUUCAAGCUUUGCUUGGUGUUGGGUGUUUGUCUCGCCUCCGCGUGUAGACUCGCCUCAAAACAAUUGGCAGCCGGCGUAUUGAUUUCGGAGCGCAGUACAUCUCGCGCUUUGCACUCACAACGGCGACGUCCAAAAGUACAUUUUUACACUCUUGACCUCGGAUCAGGUAGGGAUACCCGCUGAACUUAAGCAUAUCAAUAAGCGGAGGA